Long non-coding RNA from Siniperca chuatsi (mandarin fish), 1143 nucleotides. RefSeq lists it as uncharacterized. The transcript has 3 exons. The record is from RefSeq and is a predicted model, not a curated record. Lineage: Eukaryota; Metazoa; Chordata; Actinopteri; Centrarchiformes; Sinipercidae.
UCUGGUGAACAAAAGAGAGACAACUUAUCAAUCUUUGUUUACAGGCCUGUUUUUAGGCACGGACUGCCACGAGCUAGGAAGAGCAAUACAAUUAUUUUGAUAAAUCUUUCUCAUGCCCCAGUGGUUACUGUUAUCUACCUACUUUAGAAAUCCUGCUUCAUGAGACAGGCUGACGUACCCUCUACAAAGCUAGGCUGUAAUAACAGGCUAUAAUAACCACUAAUGGACCUCUACGUGAGACUUGGCCACAGGUGUCUUCUUUAUGACCCUUUUCUGGGAAGAAACUUGGUGGCCACCUACAUGAAUCACAAAACAUACAGUGACCCAAAACCUUUUCACAUUGUUGACAAAACAGUACUGUAUUUCUUGAGUUUGUGAAGCAAUGUGCUGCUGGCUUUACAUAGAGAGCAGCCAUGUGCAAUUUACAUAUGCCUCACAGUGGUUUGGUUCACUGCCUCCAGCUAGCCACAAGUCUUUUUUCUUUAGCCACGGUACUGUUACUGCCAAAAUAUUUAAUAUGAAGACCACUGAAUCUUUUGUGGCAAACAUAGCUAUCCCUGCCCCCCUCACACGCGGGUACCCGACACACACACACACACACACACACACACACACACACACACACACAGUUUUCAUUGCAGUCUCUGUGACUUUCUCGCUAGUCUUAGUGACUUUUCAGACCCUCUUAGCAACUUUAUAUCUAAAAAGCGCCUGGUGACAAAUCCAGAGAGUUAUUCAGACCAUCCGGGGGAAAAGUGAGAAAUAUACACAAAUCUAUUAUAUUCUAGGCUAAUUUCUUCCCCUGCAUGCUGCUCAGAGUAAUCUCAGUCAGCAGCUCUUCUGGCAGAAGCACAGCGUCUCUCCCUCUCCUCUCGCCGUGUGCACACAGGCAGGAGCGAGUGAGUUACUAUAGUUACAGGGACGCUCUGUGUCUUUGUCACUCUGAAACAACACAGCAGAACAAGGUGGAGUGGUAGGAAACAUAUGCCUACUUGCAGCAGAUAUAAAAAGUAUAUUCGUCACAGCGGCUGUCCAGAGUGCUGAUCCUGGAGCUGUCCCAGUGGAGUAAACUCACACACUGACGGAGAGGGGAAGUCCUCAUGUCCUUUUACAGCACAGGAGAUGUUGUCUCCAGGAUAAAAC